ACGGGUAUGCCUUAGUAGCGGCGAGUGAAGCGGCAAAAGCUCAAAUUUGAAAUCUGGCACCUUCGGUGUCCGAKUUGUAAUUUGAAGAUUGUAACCUUGGGGUUGGCUCUUGUCUAUGUUUCUUGGAACAGGACGUCACAGAGGGUGAGAAUCCCGUGCGAUGAGAUGCCCAAUCCUAUGUAAGGUGCUUUCGAAGAGUCGAGUUGUUUGGGAAUGCAGCUCUAAGUGGGUGGUAAAUUCCAUCUAAAGCUAAAUAUUGGCGAGAGACCGAUAGCGAACAAGUACAGUGAUGGAAAGAUGAAAAGAACUUUGAAAAGAGAGUGAAAAAGUACGUGAAAUUGUUGAAAGGGAAGGGUUUGAGAUCAGACUCGAUAUUUUGUGAGCCUUGCCUUCGUGGCGGGGUGACCCGCAGCUUAUCGGGCCAGCAUCGGUUUGGGCGGUAGGAUAAUGGCGUAGGAAUGUGACUUUGCUUCGGUGAAGUGUUAUAGCCUGCGUUGAUGCUGCCUGCCUAGACCGAGGACUGCGAUUUUAUCAAGGAUGCUGGCAUAAUGAUCCCAAACCGCCCGUCUUGAAMCMCGGGAMACA
Molecule: ribosomal RNA, 585 nt
Filed under: Meyerozyma sp.
Lineage: Eukaryota; Fungi; Ascomycota; Pichiomycetes; Serinales; Debaryomycetaceae
Description: partial large subunit ribosomal RNA
Rfam family: Eukaryotic large subunit ribosomal RNA
Source: RNAcentral